Brassica rapa (field mustard) is the source of this 1390-nucleotide long non-coding RNA. RefSeq lists it as uncharacterized. NCBI's taxonomy places the organism in Eukaryota, Viridiplantae, Streptophyta, Magnoliopsida, Brassicales, Brassicaceae. The record is from RefSeq and is a predicted model, not a curated record.
AUUUUUUGGGUAGUGUGGAGGGUAAGUCACUAACAAAUCACUAGGUUAAAACAAACCAAUAGAAAAGGAGACGCUCUCAGGCACACUUAUCCAAGCCCUAAAAUCAGAUAUGGUUCCCGACGCCGGCAGCUCCACAGCUCGCCGGCGUCGCUGCUUCUCGCCAUGCUCUGCUCUCUUCUCUCCUGUUUUUCCUUUUUAUGCUACUUUGCUUCACGGAUCUCUCGAGGCGUUUGGUUUUGUGGUUCUCUCCGUCGUGGAUGGCUUCGCUCGUCGUCGCUGCUACCAAGCCAAAGCCCUCUGGAUCCUUUCUCUCACGUGUAACCUCUUCAGCCGCUACUAACUACGUCUGUUUCAGAUCUACUUUUGACUACUUGUGUGUGGGGAUCCAUACUUAUCCUGGUGGUUUGAACUGAAACUGUAUCUCUCCGGCCAUAUCGUUGGGUUCAAGUUUUGACGGCUGGGGACUCCCACCGCGAAUACCUCCUGCAGCUGUACACACUGACGAUUGCUCAUUCUCUUUAAGCUGGUUAGACUUCAUUGACCUGAGGCUCAACUCUGUUUCGGAUAAACCCUCUUGGCUCCAACACGGUAAUGUUGAAGCUGCGAAAAUUUUAUGCCUGAUCUCAGUUAUUGUCUUCAUGGAAUCCAUCUUCAAGCUCAAUCCUCUUUCAGUCUGGGUGAAGCCACAAAUGUUAGGAUCAUAAGGAUAUACUCUAAUCCUUGGUGCAAUCUUUGGAGGUUUUCCAAAAUGUUCAAGCAUAGCCCACCAUCAAAGUUCAACUCCAACAAGAACAAAUACCAAGAAAUUUAGGUCAGUAAGUUGGAGUCUAUCGAAGCUUGGAGAUUGUAGUCCCUUAGCACUUUUCUUAAUAAAGGCUAGCCAAACUUCCUCGUGUCGGGGCCAUGAGAGACCACUUUUCACCAUCCUCCACUUCGUAGGAGUGACAACUUCCACCAAAAUCCCUCUUCACUCUUUCUUUGGCUAUGUAGUCAAUGAUCAUUGUCGAUUUCCUUACCGUUUGUUGCCUUAUGUGAUGGUUCGUUUGGGACCGGAAGGCAACACAAUACUCGAUUCGAUGAGCAUCGAGGUUAUGGAGCAUUCAACGUCACGAUAUACGGUGACUAUUCCCGUUGAAGAACUUGAAGGACGAUGUAAUCUCUCUUGGAGCUUACUCGUAUGUGGCACCUUUGAACUUUCUUUCGACUUGUUAUCAGGCUUGUCAAAGCUUGUGUCUCUAUCUUUCUAUUGCCUUGUAUUGAAUGUAUCCAGUAGGAUCGCACAUCUACUUUCAGAUGUUGAUUUUAUCUUUCUAGUUGGCUAAGUUUUAUGAAUGAAAUAUGUUGUGUUUCAAAAAAAAAACAAACAAACCAAUAUGAUAAUCACUAUUUU